CAUAAGUCUAGGGAGGUUUAGGGGAAUCCCUAGCAAGAUGUGGUGCAUGAUGGCUAAAUCUCGCUCCGAAACGAAAUCGAAGCGACCGGUUUUUGGAAACAAGACCCGGUUAACAAUGCUCAAAAGCAAUCUCAUCUCAACAUUGAGGUCUUGGGAGUUAACUACGUCAAGAGGGCCGCAGUCCUCUCUUCCUAGAAGUAGGUUUAGGGCAAUCUCCCUUUGGGGAUGUGAGGUCGGAGCCUCACCGUAUUUAGGGAUUUGCAAUACGCUAGAUAGAAUAUCCUCAUUGAUUUCUAUCAAUGUCCCUCGGACAUG
This 315-nucleotide long non-coding RNA is filed under the name Phoenix dactylifera (date palm). Its description in RNAcentral is "long non-coding RNA (PDAC_LNC017936)". Lineage: Eukaryota; Viridiplantae; Streptophyta; Magnoliopsida; Arecales; Arecaceae. The record is from RNAcentral.